CUACUAGGGUAUCUAAUCCUGUUUGCUCCCCACACUUUCGCACCUCAGCGUCAGUAUCGAGCCAGUGAGCCGCCUUCGCCACUGGUGUUCCUCCGAAUAUCUACGAAUUUCACCUCUACACUCGGAAUUCCACUCACCUCUCUCGAACUCUAGACUAGGAGUUUUGGAGGCAGUUCCGGGGUUGAGCCCCGGGAUUUCACCCCCAACUUUCUAAUCCGCCUACGUGCGCUUUACGCCCAGUAAUUCCGAACAACGCUAACCCCCUCCGUAUUACCGCGGCUGCUGGCAC
Molecule: ribosomal RNA, 289 nt
Filed under: uncultured Paracoccaceae bacterium
Lineage: Bacteria; Pseudomonadati; Pseudomonadota; Alphaproteobacteria; Rhodobacterales; Paracoccaceae
Description: uncultured Rhodobacteraceae bacterium partial 16S ribosomal RNA
Source: RNAcentral